UCCUACGGGGGGCAGCAGUAGGGAAUUUUCGUCAAUGGGCGCAAGCCUGAACGAGCAAUGCCGCGUGAACGAGGAAGGUCUUCGGAUCGUAAAGUUCUGUUGAAGGGGAAAAAGAGCGGAGAGAGGAAAUGGUCUCCGAUUGAUAUUACCCUUCGAGGAAGUCACGGCUAACUACGUGUCAGCAGCCGCGGUAAUACGUAGGUGGCGAGCGUUAUCCGGAAUGAUUGGGCGUAAAGGGUGCGUAGGCGGCCUGCUAAGUCUGGAGUGAAAGGUACCGGCUCAACCGGUACAGGCUCUGGAAACUG
This 305-nucleotide ribosomal RNA is filed under the name uncultured bacterium. Its description in RNAcentral is "bacterial SSU rRNA". It matches the Rfam family "Bacterial small subunit ribosomal RNA", at positions 337 to 635 of the family's 1533-position model. The record is from RNAcentral.